Molecule: transfer RNA, 71 nt
Filed under: Leptestheria dahalacensis
Lineage: Eukaryota; Metazoa; Arthropoda; Branchiopoda; Diplostraca; Leptestheriidae
Description: tRNA-Val
Rfam family: tRNA
About the family: Transfer RNA (tRNA) molecules are approximately 80 nucleotides in length.
Source: RNAcentral
CAAAGUAGAGCUUGAAAGUUAAGCACUUCACUUACACUGAAAUGGUAUCUGUGCGAUUCAGAUUACUUUGA